This 72-nucleotide transfer RNA is filed under the name Camelus bactrianus (Bactrian camel). It matches the Rfam family "tRNA". Rfam says of the family: Transfer RNA (tRNA) molecules are approximately 80 nucleotides in length. Their secondary structure includes four short double-helical elements and three loops (D, anti-codon, and T loops). The record is from Rfam by way of RNAcentral. Lineage: Eukaryota; Metazoa; Chordata; Mammalia; Artiodactyla; Camelidae. RNAcentral also lists the same sequence under 2 other names.
GAGGGUACAGCUCAGUGGCAGAGCAUGUGCUUAGCAUGCACAAGGUCCUGGGUUCAAUCCUCAGUACCUCCA